This 436-nucleotide ribosomal RNA is filed under the name uncultured bacterium. RNAcentral's name for it is "bacterial SSU rRNA". It matches the Rfam family "Bacterial small subunit ribosomal RNA", at positions 30 to 466 of the family's 1533-position model. The record is from RNAcentral.
AUUGAACGCUGGCGGAAUGCUUUACACAUGCAAGUCGAACGGCAGCACGGGGCAACCUGGUGGCGAGUGGCGAACGGGUGAGUAAUACAUCGGAACGUGCCCAAUCGUGGGGGAUAACGUAGCGAAAGUUACGCUAAUACCGCAUACGAUCUACGGAUGAAAGCGGGGGAUCGCAAGACCUCGCGCGAAUGGAGCGGCCGAUGUCAGAUUAGGUAGUUCGGUGGGGUAAAGGCUCACCAAGCCAACGAUCUGUAGCUGGUCUGAGAGGACGACCAGCCACACUGGAACUGAGACACGGUCCAGACUCCUACGGGAGGCAGCAGUGGGGAAUUUUGGACAAUGGGCGCAAGCCUGAUCCAGCCAUUCCGCGUGCAGGAUGAAGGCCUCGGGUUGUAAACUAGCUUUGUUACGGUAACGAAAAGGUACCUAGGUUAAU